ACGUCUCGAGAGAGUUUCGUAGUCCUGGCUACAGGAUGAACGCUGCGGCGUGCCUAAUAACAUAGCAAGUCGAGGCGAACCGACUUCGGUGGGGAAGACGGGCGAACGGGUGAGUAACACGUAAGGUGAUCUGCCCAUCAGACGGGGAACAACGGAUUGGAAACGAUCGCUAAUACCGGAUAGGACGAAAGUUUAAAGAUGCUCCUGGCAUCACUGAUGGAUGAGCCUGCGGCGCAUUAGCUAGUUGGUGGGGUAAAGGCCUACCAAGGCGACGAUGCGUAGCCGACCUGAGAGGGUGAACGGCCACACUGGGACUGAGACACGGCCCAGACUCCUACGGGAGGCAGCAGUAGGGAAUCUUCGGCAAUGGGCGAAAGCCUGACCGAGCAACGCCGCGUGAAUGAAGAAGGCCUUCGGGUUGUAAAAUUCUGUUAUGAGGGAAGAAAGGUGAUAGGAGGAAAUGACUAUCAAUUGACGGUACCUUAUGAGAAAGUCACGGCUAACUACGUG
RNAcentral lists this ribosomal RNA (510 nucleotides) under uncultured Turicibacter sp. RNAcentral's name for it is "bacterial SSU rRNA". It matches the Rfam family "Bacterial small subunit ribosomal RNA", at positions 1 to 507 of the family's 1533-position model. Lineage: Bacteria; Bacillati; Bacillota; Erysipelotrichia; Erysipelotrichales; Turicibacteraceae. The record is from RNAcentral.